UACUAAUGCAACUGCGAAUAGCUGUUUAAUACAGUCGUAAUUGUAUUGACUUAUAAUAAGAUUUAGUAUCCUAAUUGGAUAACUAAGGGAAAGUUUGGCUAAUACGUUUAAUAAUACAUAUACAUAUAAUAUUUAAUGAUAGAUAUUAUAUAAAUUAAAAAUACAUUUAUUUGUAUUUUAAAUAGAGUAGACUUUAUAUUAUUAUAAUUAUAAAGCAUGUCAAACAAGCAUCUAUAGCAUCAAGUCACAAUGUUGGCAUGUGUAUUAUUGAACCUUCAAAGCAUUUACGCAUUCGGAGGAGUAGUUUCUGAUCCCGUCGAAGGUGCCUGAGAGACGGCACUUAGUUCUAAGGAACGCAGCAGGCGCGUAAAUUGCCCAAUGACAAAACAUGAUUAAUAUAUAACCUUGUAUUACUGACUUUUAUUGAGGCAGUGACAAGCUGUAAAGAUUAAAUAUAUUAAUUAAGAUAACAUUUGGAAUUGUCGCUUUGUAAUAUUUUAAUAUUAUAUUGCUUGAUAAUAUACCAAUGUUAUAAAAUAUUUAAUUUGAAUGCGGUGAAUCUAAUAAUUUCAAGUAACAUGUAUAAAAUAUUUAAUUAUUUUAUAUGUUAUCAGAAUUUUCAAGUGGAGGGCAAGUCUGGUGCCAGCAGCCGCGGUAAUACCAGCUCCACUAGCNNNNNNNNNNNNNNNNNNNNNNNNNNNGCUCGUAGUUGGAUUGAAUAUAUUAUUAUACAAUACUGUGAACAAACCAGAGUGUAUAAAACAUGUAAUAUAUUAUAUUAUGCAAUGAAUGUUUUAUCAUGGAAUAUUGCUAAUAUAUUAUUUCGAUGGAGAUAGUUGGAGUUAAGAGUACUGAUAGGCGAGCGGUGAAAUGCAUUGACCCUAUUAAGACUAACAAAAGCGAAAGCACUUAACUAGAUUAUUCUCUUUGUAUUAUUACAAUGAAGAGCGAAGGUUGGGGGAACAAAGAGGAUCAGAUACCCUCGUAGUCCUAUUUUUACAUCAAACUAUGGGAUUUCAAUUGAAUAUUUUAUUACUCUCAACUAAUUAAUUAAAUAUGAUUGAGUAAUAUUUAUUAUUUUACUCUCUAUUUAAAAAAUUUAUGAUUCAAAAAAUAUGAUUAUAUGUACUUUGAGCUCAUAUAAUUAUAUAGGUGAGAUGUAAGCAUUAUAGGUGAUCAAUAUAUAUUAUAUUAUAUAAUAUAUUAUUGUAAUCCUUAAAAUUAAAAAAUGUAAUGUGAUGCACGUUUUAGGUACGAGCUUACUAUAGAAAUAUUUAAAAUAAUACCCUCCUGGGGUAGUAUGCACGCAAGUGUGAANNNNNNNNNNNNNNNNNNAAGGGCACCACAAGAACGCGUGGAGCAUGUGGCUUAAUUUGACUCAACCCGGGAAAUCUUACCAGGUCCAGACAUAUUGAGGAUUGACAGGCGAUAGUAUAUAUAUAUUAUUAUAUAUGCAUAAAAAUGAUAGUCCUUUCAUGAUUAUAUGAUAGGUGGUGCAUGGCCGUUCUUAGUUCGUGGAGUGAUUUGUCUGCUUAAUUGCGUUUCAGUUAAAUAAAAUAUAUAAUAUAUAUAAUUAUUAGUUCUGCCUAAUAUAUGGAUUUAAAGUGAACAUAUUAUAUCAUAUUAUUAUAUAAUAAAUGAAUGCAACGAACGUGACCGUAACCUUUUAUUGCAUUAAAGUAUUGCAUAAAAUUAAAGGAACCGCUGUCAUUAUUAAUAUGUGUUAAAAUAGAGUAAGAAUACGGCAAUAACAGGUCUGUGAUGCCCUCAGAUGUUCUGGGCUGCACACGUGCUACAAUAAUUACAUUAAUAAGUAUAUACAUAUAUUAAGUAUAACUUAAUUAAAAACCUAUUUCGAAAGUAAAUCGGUAAUCAUUUAAAAAUCGUGAUUAUAAAUAUAUAUACAUAAUUGUAUAUUUAAUUAAUUUAAGGUGGGGAUAGUGUAUUGUUAAUUAUUACACUUGGCCUUAACUAGGAAUGCCUUGUACUCUUCUUUGGUUUAACAUACCAAGAGGAAUACGUCCCUGCCCUUUGUACACACCGCCCGUCGCUCUUACCGAUGAAUUAUAUUAUAAAUCUAAGGGAUUUAAAUAAAAUAUUAUAAAAACUUAUAUACAUAAUGUGAUUUAAAGGAAAGAGAAGUCGUAACAAGGCAUCAGUAGGUGAACCU
This 2170-nucleotide ribosomal RNA is filed under the name Parasorites sp. 312. RNAcentral describes it as "18S ribosomal RNA". It matches the Rfam family "Eukaryotic small subunit ribosomal RNA". Lineage: Eukaryota; Foraminifera; Miliolida; Soritidae. The record is from RNAcentral.